This 596-nucleotide ribosomal RNA is filed under the name uncultured bacterium. RNAcentral describes it as "bacterial SSU rRNA". It matches the Rfam family "Bacterial small subunit ribosomal RNA", at positions 338 to 951 of the family's 1533-position model. The record is from RNAcentral.
CCUACGGGAGGCAGCAGUGGGGAAUCUUGCGCAAUGGGCGAAAGCCUGACGCAGCCAUGCCGCGUGAAUGAUGAAGGUCUUAGGAUUGUAAAAUUCUUUCACCGGGGACGAUAAUGACGGUACCCGGAGAAGAAGCCCCGGCUAACUUCGUGCCAGCAGCCGCGGUAAUACGAAGGGGGCUAGCGUUGCUCGGAAUUACUGGGCGUAAAGGGAGCGUAGGCGGAUAGUUUAGUCAGAGGUGAAAGCCCAGGGCUCAACCUUGGAAUUGCCUUUGAUACUGGCUAUCUUGAGUGUGGGAGAGGUAUGUGGAACUCCGAGUGUAGAGGUGAAAUUCGUAGAUAUUCGGAAGAACACCAGUGGCGAAGGCGACAUACUGGCCCAUUACUGACGCUGAGGCUCGAAAGCGUGGGGAGCAAACAGGAUUAGAUACCCUGGUAGUCCACGCUGUAAACGAUGAGUGCUAGUUGUCGGCAGGCAUGCCUGUCGGUGACGCAGCUAACGCAUUAAGCACUCCGCCUGGGGAGUACGGUCGCAAGAUUAAAACUCAAAGGAAUUGACGGCUGAGACGUGCCGACGGACGACGACGAGGGAGGAGG